This 99-nucleotide small nuclear RNA is filed under the name Rhinolophus ferrumequinum (greater horseshoe bat). The record is from RNAcentral. Lineage: Eukaryota; Metazoa; Chordata; Mammalia; Chiroptera; Rhinolophidae.
GGUCACUUCGCAGAACCUGUACUAAAACUGAAACUAUACAGAUUCACAUGGCCCCUGUGCAAGAAUGACACGCAAAUUCGUGAAGCAUUCCACAUUUUU